RNAcentral lists this ribosomal RNA (486 nucleotides) under uncultured bacterium. Its description in RNAcentral is "partial 16S ribosomal RNA". It matches the Rfam family "Bacterial small subunit ribosomal RNA", at positions 30 to 507 of the family's 1533-position model. The record is from RNAcentral.
AUUGAACGCUGGCGGCAUGCCUUACACAUGCAAGUCGAACGGCAGCACGGGUGCUUGCACCUGGUGGCGAGUGGCGAACGGGUGAGUAAUACAUCGGAACAUGUCCUGUAGUGGGGGGUAGCCCGGCGAAAGCCGGAUUAAUACCGCAUACGAUCCACGGAUGAAAGCGGGGGACCUUCGGGCCUCGCGCUAUGGGGUUGGCCGAUGGCUGAUUAGCUAGUUGGUGGGGUAAAGGCCUACCAAGGCGACGCUCAGUAGCUGGUCUGAGAGGACGACCAGCCACACUGGGACUGAGACACGGCCCAGACUCCUACGGGAGGCAGCAGUGGGGAAUUUUGGACAAUGGGCGAAAGCCUGAUCCAGCAAUGCCGCGUGUGUGAAGAAGGCCUUCGGGUUGUAAAGCACUUUUGUCCGGAAAGAAAUCCUUGGCCCUAAUACGGUCGGGGGAUGACGGUACCGGAAGAAUAAGCACCGGCUAACUACGUG